CCCUUAGAUGUCCUGGGCCGCACGCGCGUUACACUGAUGCAUUCAACGAGCUUAUAACCUUGGCCGAGAGGUCUGGGCAAUCUUGUUAACGUGCAUCGUGAUAGGGAUAGAUUAUUGAAAUUAUUAAUCUUGAACGAGGAAUUCCUAGUAAACGCAGAUCAUCAAUCUGCAUUGAUUACGUCCCUGCCCUUUGUACACACCGCCCGUCGCACCUACCGAUUGGAUGGUCCGGUGAAGCCUCGGGAUUGUGGUUCUUGCCGCUUUAUUGUGGCGUGACCGCGAGAACUUGUCUAAACCUGAUCAUCUAGAGGAAGGUGAAGUCGUAACA
This 328-nucleotide ribosomal RNA is filed under the name uncultured eukaryote. Its description in RNAcentral is "partial 18S ribosomal RNA". It matches the Rfam family "Eukaryotic small subunit ribosomal RNA", at positions 1470 to 1796 of the family's 1831-position model. The record is from RNAcentral.